Molecule: long non-coding RNA, 1407 nt
Organism: Galeopterus variegatus (Sunda flying lemur)
Lineage: Eukaryota; Metazoa; Chordata; Mammalia; Dermoptera; Cynocephalidae
Exons: 2
Source: RefSeq, a predicted model, not a curated record
UGCUUUGGUAAGGAAGCCUGGGGCGGAGGACUCUUCCCCCACUGGCCUCAAGCUGCAGGCCCGGAGCGCACAGCGCCUCCCUGAAAGAUGCGGUGACGUUGCUUCUGAAAUGAUGAGGCUGCCACAUGCUCAUUGUGAGAAAGAUAACCAGAGGCGGCGAACAGUAGAGAAGUGUGGUCUGUGGACAUCCCCUCUAAUCCGACCCUCUUGGGAUUACCUUUGUUAACUCUUGGUUGGCUGUAUCUGUUUUUUUCUGUGCAAAUGGAUGUAUACGUAUUUUAGAUUCAUUUCUUUUAUUGCUAGAAAAAUCUCCAUCAGAUGCUUAUGGAUUGCAUGCUAUAUGCCAAGUAUUGCUGUAGGCUGUGGGUCUGCAAACGUUUUCCUAUAAAGGACCCCAGAGCAAAUAUUUUAGGCUCUGCGGGCCAUCAAGGAUCUUAUUUAAGUACUUGUAUAAUCAGAGAGAAGUGUCCAUAAAGUUCUUAUUGGUGAAAUUUAAUAUAACAACCGAGUACUUCUUAAAAUAUGGAUUGCUGUGGUCUGAAUGUUUGUCCCCUCUGAAACUCAUUUUGAAACUCUACCCCAAUGUAACAGUACUGAGAAGUGGGGCCUUUAAGAGGUGAUUGGGUCAUGAGGGUGUUGCUCACAUGAAUGGAUUAAUCCAUUCAUAGAUUAAUGGGUUAAUGGAUUGAUGGGUUGUAACAAGAGUGGAUCUGUUAGAAAAGCCAGUUUGGCUUCUGAUGGGUCCCGAGACACUGCAGAGAGUCCCCCACCAGCAAGAAGGCCCUCACCCAGUGCGCCCCUCAACCACAGACCUCCUAGCCUCCAGAACCGUAAGAAAUAAAUUUCUGUUCCUUAUAAAUUAUCUGGUCUCAAGUAUUCUGUUGCAGGCAACAGAAAAUGGACUAAGACAAGGGUCUGCUCAUGAAAAUGAAACCAGGGGACAAACCCCCAGUUUCCCUGGCUGUUCUCUUGACCCUCUUCAGAACCGGCCUCAGCUAGGGGAAGGGAAAGAUAGCUUUAAAAAAUCUGUUUGACCAAGCAGGACGGGCUGAAUUCCUAGGAGCAGCGGUACACUUGGAGUAACAAUAAGCUGGAAGAGAUGACCCAAAGAUCAUGAGCAGACUUUGAGUCUGUUUUGCAGAAAACAAUGAAGGCUGUCAACAAAACUGCAACCACAGGAUGACCCAGCCCCAGCUGCCGCUGGCACUAAGGAGCCUAUAGUUACCUAAUACCUGGAGUCAGAGAAAACACAGAUUUUCUGUUAACUUCCCCAAGACUCCUCCUCCCUUUCCUCUCGGCCUUAUAAAAUUCCUUGCCUCUGUUUCUGUGGUGAGAUGGACCAGAGAAACUUGGGCUUGCCUGUCUUCUUGCUUUGGCUAGUUCAAAUAAACCUUUCUCUGUCUCCAA